GGCUAUUUUAAAAAUAAUUUUAAGACGAAGGAGACACAUUUUUUAUGAGACGAUACCAGAAAUGUUUUCAGGUCUCAUUUUUUCUGGGUUUCAAGUGAAAAAGAGGAAAUUUGAAAACUAAAUUUGCCGCUGAUUGACUUUAACUUGGAUUCAGAUUCUGGGUUGGAGCUGCUUACUGUCCAAGGUUUGCUUCUCCUCAGCUUGAGGGCUCUCUUCUAUAGAAACGUCUGGAUUCACGUCUCUAAACCAGGAUGGGGAGUGCAGACCUUCAGGCUUUCAGGCAUUUCUCCACCUUUCGGUUAAACUCAGACAUGAGUUCAGAGUCCAAACAGGAGCAGCAGGAUGAGUCUAAACCUGAUAUCCAGCCUGACUCCAACCAGGAGACACCAGAGCUGAGGAGCGGCCCCCUUCGGCUGGUCGUCAUUGUGUCUCGCAUACGGUGGCUUCACAACCGGCAUUUCUCACUGCAGAACAAGCAGCAAUUCACAAAGAAGGCAGAGCAACACAGUGGCAGCAGCACAGAGGAACUGACCAGUGAAGGUGAUGACACACUGCGUGAGCUGGAGGCCAUUCAGGCAGAGCUGGAGGAGCUGCAGGCUAAAAGGGAAGAGUUGGAGGAGCAAGAAAGGAGCUCCAAACUCAAAGUAAACGGAGGUCACCAAGGAGGCACAACUCUUUAUAAAGAUGAGACACUGACCCACGAGCCCACGAGUGAAAAAACUGGAGGUGCAGCUGAAAGACCAACUGGUGUGGUUGUUCCAGUGGACAGUCUUCGUCAAGUCGCAGAAAUCACCAAGUGUCCGUCAUGCCAAGAGGUCGUCGUCACGGAAACCCACAGCAC
Molecule: long non-coding RNA, 841 nt
Organism: Amphiprion ocellaris (clown anemonefish)
Lineage: Eukaryota; Metazoa; Chordata; Actinopteri; Pomacentridae
Source: Ensembl